CGAUGGAUGCCCGCUAUUCGCUCAUUUCUGAGCGUGUGGCCAAGCGAAAGCGUUAAGCAUCCCACCUGGGGAGUACGCCGGCAACGGUGAAACUCAAAGGAAUUGACGGGGGCCCGCACAAGCGGAGGAACAUGUGGUUUAAUUCGAUGAUACGCGAGGAACCUUACCCGGGCUUGAAUUGCAGAGGAAAGAUCCAGAGAUGGUGAUGCCCUUCGGGGCUUCUGUGAAGGUGCUGCAUGGCUGUCGUCAG
RNAcentral lists this ribosomal RNA (250 nucleotides) under uncultured bacterium. RNAcentral's name for it is "partial 16S ribosomal RNA". It matches the Rfam family "Bacterial small subunit ribosomal RNA", at positions 807 to 1058 of the family's 1533-position model. The record is from RNAcentral.